This 633-nucleotide ribosomal RNA is filed under the name Debaryomyces hansenii. RNAcentral's name for it is "eukaryotic LSU rRNA". The stretch from base 238 to 391 matches the Rfam family "5.8S ribosomal RNA". The record is from RNAcentral. Lineage: Eukaryota; Fungi; Ascomycota; Pichiomycetes; Serinales; Debaryomycetaceae.
ACAAGGUUUCCGUAGGUGAACCUGCGGAAGGAUCAUUACAGUAUUCUUUUUGCCAGCGCUUAAUUGCGCGGCGAAAAAACCUUACACACAGUGUUUUUUGUUAUUACAAGAACUUUUGCUUUGGUCUGGACUAGAAAUAGUUUGGGCCAGAGGUUUACUGAACUAAACUUCAAUAUUUAUAUUGAAUUGUUAUUUAUUUAAUUGUCAAUUUGUUGAUUAAAUUCAAAAAAUCUUCAAAACUUUCAACAACGGAUCUCUUGGUUCUCGCAUCGAUGAAGAACGCAGCGAAAUGCGAUAAGUAAUAUGAAUUGCAGAUUUUCGUGAAUCAUCGAAUCUUUGAACGCACAUUGCGCCCUCUGGUAUUCCAGAGGGCAUGCCUGUUUGAGCGUCAUUUCUCUCUCAAACCUUCGGGUUUGGUAUUGAGUGAUACUCUUAGUCGAACUAGGCGUUUGCUUGAAAUGUAUUGGCAUGAGUGGUACUGGAUAGUGCUAUAUGACUUUCAAUGUAUUAGGUUUAUCCAACUCGUUGAAUAGUUUAAUGGUAUAUUUCUCGGUAUUCUAGGCUCGGCCUUACAAUAUAACAAACAAGUUUGACCUCAAAUCAGGUAGGAUUACCCGCUGAACUUAAGCAUUA